RNAcentral lists this RNase P RNA (351 nucleotides) under Cellvibrionaceae bacterium. Its description in RNAcentral is "RNase P RNA component class A". It matches the Rfam family "Bacterial RNase P class A". Rfam says of the family: Ribonuclease P (RNase P) is a ubiquitous endoribonuclease, found in archaea, bacteria and eukarya as well as chloroplasts and mitochondria. Its best characterised activity is the generation of mature 5'-ends of tRNAs by cleaving the 5'-leader elements of precursor-tRNAs. Lineage: Bacteria; Pseudomonadati; Pseudomonadota; Gammaproteobacteria; Cellvibrionales; Cellvibrionaceae. The record is from RNAcentral.
GGAGUCAGCCAGACAAUCGCUGCGCCUCAACGGCGGGGAGGAAAGUCCGGGCUCCAUAGGGCAGAACGCCAGGUAACACCUGGGGGGCGCGAGCCUACGGAAAGUGCAACAGAAAGUAAACCGCCGCUAUUUUUACAAAUGGCGGUAAGGGUGAAACGGUGCGGUAAGAGCGCACCGCGCAGCUGGCAACAGUCUGCGGCAUGGUAAACCCCGUUCGGAGCAAGACCAAAUAGGAAUCCUUUAGGUGUGGCCCGCACUGGAUUCGGGUAGGUCGCUAAAGGUGUGUGGCAACGCAUGCCGUAGAUGAAUGAUUGUCCAAGACAGAACCCGGCUUAUCGGCCGACUCCCAUC